Molecule: non-coding RNA, 73 nt
Organism: Pteropus alecto (black flying fox)
Lineage: Eukaryota; Metazoa; Chordata; Mammalia; Chiroptera; Pteropodidae
Source: Rfam
GGUUCCAUAGUGUAACGGUUAGCACAUCUGCUUUACAUGCAGAAGAUCCUGGAUUUACACCCCAGUGGAACCA